UACGUAGGGGGCUAGCGUUGUCCGGAAUCAUUGGGCGUAAAGCGCGUGUAGGCGGCCCGGUAAGUCCGCUGUGAAAGUCGGGGGCUCAACCCUCGAAUGCCGGUGGAUACUGUCGGGCUAGAGUACGGAAGAGGCGAGUGGAAUUCCUGGUGUAGCGGUGAAAUGCGCAGAUAUCAGGAAGAACACCUAUGGCGAAGGCAGCACUCUGGGACGGUACUGACGCUGAGACGCGAAAGCGUGGGGAGCGAACAGG
Molecule: ribosomal RNA, 253 nt
Filed under: uncultured bacterium
Lineage: Bacteria
Description: partial 16S ribosomal RNA
Rfam family: Bacterial small subunit ribosomal RNA
Source: RNAcentral